This is a non-coding RNA of Acanthosepion pharaonis, 113 nucleotides long. The record is from the annotation of a GenBank genome assembly. Lineage: Eukaryota; Metazoa; Mollusca; Cephalopoda; Sepiida; Sepiidae.
UUAUGGCCAUAUCAUGCUAAACUCCAGUUCCUGUAUGAUCACUGAAGUUAAACAACAUUGAGCCUAAGCAGUACCGAGAUGGGUGACCACUUGGGAAUACAAGGUGCUGUAAG